RNAcentral lists this ribosomal RNA (325 nucleotides) under uncultured Flavisolibacter sp. Its description in RNAcentral is "bacterial SSU rRNA". It matches the Rfam family "Bacterial small subunit ribosomal RNA", at positions 136 to 459 of the family's 1533-position model. Lineage: Bacteria; Pseudomonadati; Bacteroidota; Chitinophagia; Chitinophagales; Chitinophagaceae. The record is from RNAcentral.
CUGGGGAAUAGCCCGGGGAAAGCCGGAUUAAUACCUCGUAAGAUAAUGAAGUGGCAUCGCUUUAUUAUUAUAGCUCCGGCGGUUUUGCAUGGGCGUGCGCCUGAUUAGGUACUUGGCGGGGUAACGGCCCACCAAGCCUACGAUCAGUCACCUGGUGUGAGAGCACGACCACUCACACGGGCACUGAGACACGGGCCCGACUCCUACGGGAGGCAGCAGUACUGAAUAUUGGUCAAUGGACGCAAGUCUGAACCAGCCAUGCCGCGUGAAUGAUGAAGGUCCUCUGCAUUGUAAACUUCUUUUAUAUGGGAAGAAAUCCAUCUUU